GGGUUGGUAGGUUGGUCAUGCCUCUGGUAUGUACUGGUCUCACUGAUUCCUCCUUCCUGAUGAACCUUAAUGCCAUUAAUUUGGUGUUUUGGGGAAUUUGGACUGUUACUUUGAAAAAAUUAGAUGGUUUAAAGCAAGCUAACGCUUGAAUACAUUAGGAUGGAAUAAUGAAAUAGGACGUUCGGUUCUAUUUUGUUGGUUUCUAGGAUUGACGUA
This 216-nucleotide ribosomal RNA is filed under the name Campeiostachys nutans. Its description in RNAcentral is "Elymus nutans partial small subunit ribosomal RNA". The stretch from base 40 to 216 matches the Rfam family "Eukaryotic small subunit ribosomal RNA", at positions 686 to 864 of the family's 1831-position model. The record is from RNAcentral. Lineage: Eukaryota; Viridiplantae; Streptophyta; Magnoliopsida; Poales; Poaceae.